UUAAGAUCUUCAGGGCACCUGAAGCCCAACUUGCUAAUUACGACAAUGGACAGUCAUUAAGGGCCAUGGCUUCCACAGUGGGAACCUAUACAGACCAGGUGCAAUGGUUUGUCAAGCCCCUACAUUUGUCCUUGCUCUGACUGAAGUAGGCCUUGGUGCAGAUGCUCCAGAUCCACCUGCAGAACUCUGACAUACUGCACAGACACAGGAACCAUGUG
This is a long non-coding RNA of Artibeus jamaicensis (Jamaican fruit-eating bat), 218 nucleotides long. RefSeq lists it as uncharacterized. The transcript is spliced from 3 exons. The record is from RefSeq and is a predicted model, not a curated record. NCBI's taxonomy places the organism in Eukaryota, Metazoa, Chordata, Mammalia, Chiroptera, Phyllostomidae.